RNAcentral lists this ribosomal RNA (404 nucleotides) under uncultured Mycobacterium sp. RNAcentral's name for it is "bacterial SSU rRNA". It matches the Rfam family "Bacterial small subunit ribosomal RNA", at positions 338 to 754 of the family's 1533-position model. The record is from RNAcentral. Lineage: Bacteria; Bacillati; Actinomycetota; Actinomycetes; Mycobacteriales; Mycobacteriaceae.
CCUACGGGGGGCUGCAGUGGGGAAUAUUGCACAAUGGGCGAAAGCCUGAUGCAGCGACGCCGCGUGGGGGAUGAAGGCCUUCGGGUUGUAAACCUCUUUCAGCGCCGAAGAAGCGAAAGUGACGGUAGGCGCAGAAGAAGCACCGGCUAACUACGUGCCAGCAGCCGCGGUAAUACGUAGGGUGCAAGCGUUGUCCGGAUUUAUUGGGCGUAAAGAGCUCGUAGGCGGUUUGUCGCGUCUGCUGUGAAAACUCGGGGCUUAACUCCGGGCCUGCAGUGGGUACGGGCAGACUAGAGUGCGGUAGGGGAGACUGGAAUUCCUGGUGUAGCGGUGAAAUGCGCAGAUAUCAGGAGGAACACCGGUGGCGAAGGCGGGUCUCUGGGCCGUAACUGACGCUGAGGAGC